AUGAACGCUGGCGGCGUGCCUAAUACAUGCAAGUCGAGCGAACAGACGAGGAGCUUGCUCCUCUGACGUUAGCGGCGGACGGGUGAGUAACACGUGGAUAACCUACCUAUAAGACUGGGAUAACUUCGGGAAACCGGAGCUAAUACCGGAUAAUAUAUUAAACCGCAUGGUUCAAUAGUGAAAGACGGUUUUGCUGUCACUUAUAGAUGGAUCCGCGCCGCAUUAGCUAGUUGGUAAGGUAACGGCUUACCAAGGCGACGAUGCGUAGCCGACCUGAGAGGGUGAUCGGCCACACUGGAACUGAGACACGGUCCAGACUCCUACGGGAGGCAGCAGUAGGGAAUCUUCCGCAAUGGGCGAAAGCCUGACGGAGCAACGCCGCGUGAGUGAUGAAGGUCUUCGGAUCGUAAAACUCUGUUAUUAGGGAAGAACAAAUGUGUAAGUAACUAUGCACGUCUUGACGGUACCUAAUCAGAAAGCCACGGCUAACUACGUG
This 496-nucleotide ribosomal RNA is filed under the name uncultured bacterium. RNAcentral describes it as "partial 16S ribosomal RNA". It matches the Rfam family "Bacterial small subunit ribosomal RNA", at positions 29 to 507 of the family's 1533-position model. The record is from RNAcentral.